Molecule: long non-coding RNA, 1099 nt
Filed under: Oryctolagus cuniculus (rabbit)
Lineage: Eukaryota; Metazoa; Chordata; Mammalia; Lagomorpha; Leporidae
Description: lncRNA (ENSOCUG00000039005.1)
Source: RNAcentral
UUCUCACUUGUGGAGAAAAAAGAAAAAAAAAAUAAUAAAAAUGGCCUGAAUAUUCUCUUGGGGAAAGAGAGCGCUACAGGAAAGGGCGAGUGCGUCCCAGGGCCAAAGAGAGGGGUGAGGCCUGCCAGCCCGGCCCAGUGCUGGGCGCUGGGCGCUGGGCCACCGGGAGCCAGGCUUGCCCAUUGGAAGGGCUCCCGUGGCCGUUGUGGGAGGCUACUUUGGAAGGCAACCCCUGUGUCAUCUCCAUUUGUCCACUUGGCACCCAAUCUCCUUGAAUUCCUUAUUUUUCCUCCUGCUGGAUGCUGAAGGGCUGAUGGGGCGGGUGCUGUGGCAUCCACCACUCCUUGGUCUCUUUAGUGGCUGUGGUGGUGUUAGGUUCACAUCAUAGACCCAUGAUAGAAAGAGACAUAUAUAGCUCUGUGAAUCUCUGGUAUGGCUCGGCUUGCCCGGGGGUCAGGGAAGGCUUUGCUGAGAGCUGAGCUAUGGAGAGUAAAGCCUACCUUGGCAAAGGCUGAGGGUGAGGAGGAGGUACAAUGACUGGCUCUGCCCAUACCCUGGUGGGAUGGGGAGUGGAGGGUAGAGAGUGUUGACAGGGGAGACUGGGGGCAGAGUGAGGACAUUGCCUGCUUAGUAUGAGGCUGGGGCUGGGGAGGCUGGGCCAGAUCCUUCAAGGCCCUCCCUACCAGGUUGAGCAGCUUGGCGGAUACACUAUCAUGCAUUUGACUUUGGACAUGUUGAGUUUGAGGAAAAGCUGAGAACAUCAGUUCUUCUCAUGAGUAAGCAGAUGGAGAUGCAGGUUUGGAGUUCAUAAGAGUCUAGGCUGAAGGUGCUCUGUGCAUUGGCAGUAACAGAAGCCUCAGUCAUAAACAAGAAAUCUAGGAGGUCGCUUUUUUUCUUGGGCAAUCCAGAGGUGCCAUUGCUUUUAAAUGUGUAAAAUAAUAGUAGAAAUAGAUUGCAUUGAAAUAUAUGUAUAUAUUGAAAUAUGACAUAUAUAUGAAAUAUGUGUUGUAAAAUUUUUAUUUAUUUGAAAGUCAGAGUUACAGAGAGGUAGAGGUAGAAGCUGAGAGAGAGAGAGAGAGAGAGAGAGAGAUAUCUUCCA